UUUUUUUUUUUUUUUUUGAAGUGGCUUGUUUGUGUUGUCAUCCUGCACUUGGUUUUGUGAAUUGGAUUUUGACUCUUGGCUAGCUUGUUCAAACUCCCGGAAUAGAGAAAAUACCAAAUUGAGGGCCGACUUCUACUCUGUGUAUUAUCAGCAAUCAGGUUUGGUUAGGCAGAGCCAAAGAAGAAGGAAGAUUUACAGCAACUAGUAGGCAUUGUUCUGAAGCCGCGGAUUAAAACGCAUACACAGAGUCAUGCCAGUAAAGAGAGAAUAUCUGAGAGCAUUGGCAAUCAAAUAUCAGAGGGUAAAUUACAUACAAUCCCCAUGAAAUUUUGAAUAAUACCACAUUUCAAAAUAGUCAUGCAAUUCCAUCUAUAUAUAUGGCUAUAAGUGAUGUCCUGAAUCAAAAAAUGAUGGAGGAAACUGGACUGUGACGUGGGUUGGUAAGAGAAUCAGAUGCGUGAUAAUUGUUGAUUUCUUGCAAAAUCUUGUACAUUUGGUUACUUGAAAUAGGACAUUGAUAAACAUCAAAUGAAAACGCAAAGGUUAUUCAAACCUUUGCGGAAGAAUCAACUCCGGUGCAGCAGAAUCUCCGGCUUGUUAUCCCAAGGACACAACAGCCCACCUACACUUGUUGUCACUUUCAUUAGUCCAUACAACUAAGAGAGUAUAACUCCACUAACACUGGUCUUUCUUGUCGAUCUAUGAGAUAGAAAAUAACAAAGGAGUAGAUAUUUUUCUCUUAUGAAUUGUAGUUUAUAAAACAUAAGUUGUUGUAGCGCCUUUUCCUAUCUCAACUACACAUAUUUAUAGGUGAAGAAAAAUUAGUCAAACAUAACCUACACUAAUAAUAUGCUAAGUAACUGUUGAAAAUGAUUGGCUAUUCAAGACACAUUCUAAUUUGUAUUGUAGGUUAUAAAAUUUAUUGUAAUUGAAAAGCCAUAAUUUCAUAUAAUAAAUAUUUAGUAAAACAUCAUUCAAACACCAAUAAAUUUCAAAAACAUUUACCAAUUUAUUCUCCUUGUAACUUACACAUUGAAUUGAGAAUUUAACUAUUUUAUUAAAAUACUCCAACAGAAACUGUCAAUAUUUAAGAAUUCUUUUGAAGUAAUUAUUACUAAUAUAGUUUCCAUUUCUCGUGGAAUGUUCUGAAUCUCUCCUAAAGCAACAUUUUCCAAUUUGAGUGCCAGAAUUGUUGCAAACUUUUUUGGUUUGUGCGUCACUUUGCAUCUAAGAAUUCAAAAUUUCACCACCAAUUAAAUAGUUUCCCUUGCAACUUUAGUUUUCUUUUCUCUUCUAUUUCCAAUUUCUCCUAACUUAUAUUUCCUUGUUGCGGAUCUUGCCCAACUAUAUGAGAUAUGUCUUAUCGAUUCUUUGAUUCCUGGAACACAAGAAAUUUUUCAUUCCUAAUAUGUAUUCUUGUUUAAUUGUUUAAUUGAUUUUUAAAAGUUAUUAGUAAAAAAAUUAGAUCUAAUUUCGUGCAGUGCUCCUUUGACAAACUGAAUCGGAUGCUUUAGCGACGGAAGUCGCUUCGCAUCUUCAAUUCACCUUUCUUAAUGAGAUACUAAAUUCUUUGUUAAAUUUUGACUUUAAACAUCAAAAUAGAGUAAUUCUUUUGGUUUAAUGAUUAAAGUACUUCAAGAAUAAAAGGUCCUAGAUUCAAUUCUCCGAAUUUUUACUUCUCUUGUAUGAAAAUAAAGUAUGAACAUAAAAAUGAGCUAACCUAAUGUUUCAAAAAAAAAAAAAAAAAACAAGACAUCACCUAAAACUACAAAUGACCUUUGUAUACUCUUAAAACUUAUGCCUAUAAUUUCUUCUUGUUAAUUUGCAACCUCAAAGUUUUAUCUUUUUAAGUAUCUUUCCAUUUCAAAAAAUUGGAGAUCCCUGAUAUUUGUAGUUGUCUUGACCGAUUCAAUUUCUUACCUCCAUUUCAUAUUUAGUGUGCAUGCAUUCUAAUGGUGAGUUUAUACACGAUUUGUAUAGAAUACACCUAUGGCUGUCAAUCCGUCUUUGAGCUUGGGGUUGCUUGAUUAAUUUUAAAAAAAUCUUAGGUCGAAUGAACUCUAGCAAAGAAUGAUUUGAAAUAUCUAUUUGCAACCCUGUUAAAAAUUUAUCUUCAUACCUUUUGCAAGGUCAUUGAAAACACACAUUGAAGGUACUUGACGCUAACCUGUUUUUAAAUAAAAUCAUUAGGCAUUAGAAAGUAUAGAGGCAAGAAUUAUUAAAGCCAGAAAUUUAAGAGGUACUUUGAAGACAUCAAAAAUAUGGUUUGAUGGUACUUGAGGCAAACACUUUUUGUUAAAUAAAUCAUAAGCAUUAGAAAAUUAAGAGGCAAGAAUUAUUAAACAUAGAAAUAUUAAAAAUCUACCUAAUAUUCCUUUUAGGAUAAAUUUUGAAUACACAAAUAGUAUAUAUACAAGCGAGGCUGAAUACAUGCUACCUUUACUGUGGAAGAAAUAAGUACAUCAGCAAUUCUUUUUGUUCCUUUUUUGUUCCUUGGAUACUUUUUGCAGUGGAAGGUUUUUGCCCUGGGUGGAGGCAAAAAGGAACUAUUUUUUGCUUUAGUAGAAGUACGGCCGCAAACGAAUCGAGCUGCUCGAGAACGGCUCGAGUCGAGUUCGAGUUGGCUCGAGUCAAAAUCUAGCUCGAACUCGAGUUCAAAAUAUUAAGUUCGUUAGGCUCGCGAGCUCGAGUAUAUGUAUGUUAUAUUUAUUUAUUUUUUUAUUUUAAGUAUAUAUAUUAUAUUUUUUUAAUUUUAAUAGUAAAAUUACAUAUAUAUCCUUAUUAUUUUAUUAUUUAUUAAUAAAAAUAUUAUUUUAUUUAUUUUUUAAAAAAUAAAAUAAUUAUUUUUUAUUUUUUUCGAGCUUGAGCUCGAACUUGGCUCGAAUCAAGUCGAGUUAGAGCUCGAGCUUGAAAUUGUCAGCUCGUUGAGCUCGAGCUCGAUUUCAAGUUCAAUGAAAUUAAAUCAAGACUCGGCUCGAUUAAGCAAAAACUCGGCUCGACUCGGCUCGUUUACAGCCCUAAGCAGAAGCAACAAGACUUUGACAAACUUGUAUGCUUUUGCAACAAGGAAGAGGUUGCUACUUGAUCCGGGGCCUCACAAUUUAUGUUUUAUACAAUUUCGUACAAGUUGAUCUUUGGUGUAAAUUAGUCGGAUUUCAGUGUGAAUUAGAUCUAUUUUAAUAUAAAUCAGGUGCAGUUCAGUGUAUAUUAAUUUGUUAUUAUUUUGUAUAAAUCAGAGACACUUGGAUAUAAGUUGAUUAUUAUCAUUUAGUAUAAGUUAAGGUCAAUUUGAUGUAAACGGAGAGUAAAUGGUUAAUUUACAUCAAAUUAUACAUAAUGGAACUUGUGAGGCCUAUUUCCUGCAUAGGACUUGUGAGGCCUGUAAUUUUGGUAUCCAAAAUUUGACACGUGAACAGUUUUAAUUCCCAAACUUUGGACGAAAACAAAUCUAGUAUCCAAACUUUCAAUAUUUGAGCACAUUUAGUAGCCUUAGUGAAUUUUUUCCAAAUUGUUACUUGAAAAAGUCACGUGAUAGUCAUAUGUUCGACAAAAAUUAUAUAAAAAAAUGUCACAAAAAUGUAAAAUAUCUUUCUGACACUAAGAUGAAGAUGAAAUACAGCAAAAGAAGGAGAAAAGAAAUAAGAUGAGUAGAGUUGGGUAAGUGAUUAACGUUUUUAAAAUAUCUUGGUACUUAGUGCUAGAAGGAUAUUUUACAUUUCAUUGGUAUUAUUUUUAUGCAAUAGUUGUCGGACAUGCGAUUAUCGCGUGAUUUUUUCUGAUAGCAUUUUGGAAAAAAAUUGUCAAGGGUACUAAAUAUGCUCGAAUAUUAAAAAUUUGAGUAUAAGAUUUAUUAUUGUUCAAAAUUUGGGGAUUAAAACUGCUCAUGUGUUAAAAUUUGAGUACCAAAAUUAACAUUUUUCUCUACUUGUCGUUGCCCGGGCCUUCAUCUACUUUUGAUCCACAUGCUGGAGCCUUGGGUUGUGUGAAAUAUGACAAUCAAGGAUUUAAAAUACGACAAAACAAGAAAAAAGAAAGGGAAAAUAGCAAUCAUAAUUGCAACUCCGGCAACUAUUUUCUUUUUGAGUUAAAUACAAAAAACCUCCUUAUGAUUAAUCGAAUGUUCAAGUUAACUCCCUAUACUUUGGAAACAUACAUAAAAUCCCCUUAUGCUUUUGAUUAAAAUAAAGGGCAAAUUACACUUUACCCUCCUGUGGUAUAACUAAUUUUCACAUAACCCCUUGUAUUUUUAAAAGGUAUAUAUAACUUCUUUAUAGUUUGGACUACAUUGUCAAAGUGACGGAAAUAAUCAUUUAUAACGGAAUCUAUGAAAAUGUCAAAAUUACAAAAAUAUAGAAAUAUAAUAUGCAUGGCACUCUAACCCCAUAUGGUUUUAUAUUUUACCAUAUAACCCUCUUAUGAUUUAAUGUUUUAUCAUAUUACCCCAUUAUGGUUUUCAAUAUAUAUAUACAUAAUCCCCUGUGGUUAAUAAAUAAUUUUUAACUUUAGAUAGAGGUAUUUUUGAUAUUUUAGUUGUUUCCGUUAUGGAUUGUAAAUUCUGUCACUUUGAUAUUUUAAUUCAAAUCAUGAGAGAGUUAUGUAUAGAUUUUGACACCAUAGUGAGAUUAUAUAAGAAAACACUAAAUCACAAAGAGAGUAAAGUAUAAUUUGUCCUAAAUUAAAAUAUUAAUUUUUUUGUUAUAGUUAACAAUAAUAAAGGGUAAGUUGGUUAUUUGAUUAUAAGGCAAUUUAUAUUAUAUAAAAUGGGAAAAUAGAAAAUCUUUUUCUCUUCAUUCCAUCCAUAAGCCUUACAAUGUAUCUCUUUUUUAUAUUUUUUGGUUAAAACAUUGUAUCUCCUUUUCACCACUUGACCUUACCUUUUCUUUCUUUUUUUGGUAAAUUAUAUUUUAUCCCCCUGUGGUUUAGUACUUUUUCUACAUAACUCCCCUAUGGUUUCAAAAGCUAUACAUAACCUCCCAUAAUUUAGAUUAAAGUAUCAAAGUAACGAAAAUAGUCAUUCGUAACAAAACUUUUGAAAAUGUCAAAAUUACCCUUAUAAAUACAUGACACACUAACCCCGUAUGAUUUUUAUAUUUUACCAUAUAACCCCCUUAUAGUUUUCAAAAUAUAUACAUAAUUCUACUUGGUUAAUAAUUAAUUUUCAACUUUACAUAAGGGUAUUUUUGACAUUUUAGAUGACUCCAUUAUGAAUGAUUAUUUCCAUCAUUUUGAUACUUUAAUCCAAACCAUAAAAGGGUUAUGUAUAGUUUUUGAAACUAUAAGGGAGUUAUGUAAAAAGCACCAAAUCACAGGGGAUAAAUUGGAGUUUGCGUCUUCAAACCCAAAAUCUUAUGACCCAAAAUGAUGGCGUCUUCAAAAUUUCAGAAAUGGAUGGAGUGCUUGAUCUACUUCUUCAUUUGUGCAUAUAUGAUAUUUCUGUCCAUGGCUCCAGCCUAUUUAUGUCAAGUAAUUCCGUGCGGUGGCUGCUUGUGGUGCACAUGAGCGGUUAUCUGGAGAAGAUGACGUGAGAAAAGAUGAUCACAUCUGUGAUUUGGUAUUUUAUUACAUAACCCUUCUAUAGUUUAAAAAUUUAUAUAUAACCCCUUCAUAGUUUGGAUUAAAGUGUUACCAUCAUUUUUUUCCGUUAAAACUAACAGUCAAUAGCAAAAAUCAAAGUCAAACUAAUAAAUAGACAAAUUCACCUUUUCACUACAUUUUUUUCCUUUCUUUCUUUUUUUCUUCUCUUUUCUUUCUUUCUCUCUCUUUUUUUUUUUUUGGAAGAGAAGAGAUGAUUUAAAAGCUGUACUUUGGCUUAUAAAAUAUUAAUUUUCUCUGGAUACAAAAAAGGAAGAAAAAUGAAAAAUAAAUAAUUAAGAAAUAGAAAAGAUGGAAGGAAAGUGAAAAAAAUAAAUUAAUAAGAAACCAAAAAGAUGGAAGGGAAAUAUAAAACAAAUAAAUAAGAAACAAAAGAUACCAAAUCUUUAUUGACUGCAAAUAUCAUGAUAGGCUUUUAGACCAAAUCUUUUAUGGUAUUUUCUAUUUAUUAUUUAUCUAUUCUUUAUUUAAAUUACUUUUUUUUUGUAUUUGGAUGAAAAAAGGAAAAUAGUGAAAGAGUAAAUUUGUCAAUGUAUUAGUUUGAUUUUGAUUUUUUUUUAACUAUUGAUAGUUAGUUUUGAUGGAGAAACUAUCGGUGACCCAUUAAGUCACACCAUGAGGCGGUUAUAUAUAGGUAUAUUAAGUCAAACCAUGAGGGCAAAAGGUAAUUUAUCCUAAUUAUUAUUUUGUUUGCUUAAAAUCUUUGAGAAUUUGGGCAAAGUCCAGAGACCACAAAGUGAUAAUUUCCAUACUACUUAUCUGGCUGGUUGGUUCAGUAUGGAGGAAUAUGUGUACUGGAUGUCCACCUCAAUACUCAGACUUGGUCAUACACCAUGUAAUUGGCCACGAAUUGGACUCUUUUCUUUGCAUUUUAACUUGUGAAAGUUGUUCAAAUAUUCUCUCGUACUUUAGGAAGUCUUCUAAAGCAUCAAUGAUACUUGAAAGAAGGAAUUUAACAACUCAUAUCUUAGACCGUAUUCUUCUAUUAGCCUCCUAUCCCAUUUAUAAUUAGUUUUCACACUCAAUAUGUCUUGGUUAUGUUUCAUGUGCAAGAUUUAAGUGGUGAAAAUUUGAGGAGUUUGUUUAACCAAAGUACAAUAUGCUUUUCCCAGGGAAGCUGCUUGGCUUUUUACUGCAAAAUAAUUUCCCAGGUCAAUGCUGGGAUUCCCUUUUUUUUUUUUUUUUUAAGUGGCUUGUUUGUGUUGUCAUCCUGCACUUGGUUUUGUGAAUUGGAUUUUGACUCUUGGCUGGCUUGUUCAAACUUCCAAGUUUCUUAAACACAAGUACCUCCCGGAAUAGAGAAAAUACCAAAUUGAGGGCCGGCUUCUACUUUGUGUAUUAUCCGCAAUCAGGUUUGGUUAGGCAGAGCCAAAGAAGAAGUAAGAUUUACAGCAACUAGUAGGCGUUGUUCUGAAGCCGCGGAUUAAAACGCAUACACAGAGUCAUGCCAGUAAAGAGAGAGCAUUGGCAAUCAAAUAUCAGAGGGUGAAUUACACACAAUCCCCUUGUAGUUUUGAAUAAUACCACAUUUCAAAAUAUCUACAUAACUCCCCUGUGGUUUCAAAAGCUAUACAUAACCUCCCAUAAUUUAAAUUAAAGUAUCAAAGUAACGGAAAUAGUCAUUCGUAACAAAACUUUUGAAAAUGUCAAAAUUACCCUUAUAAAUACAUGACACACUAACCCCGUAUGAUUUUUAUAUUUUACCAUAUAACCCCCUUAUAGUUUUCAAAAUAUAUACAUAAUUCUACUUGGUUAAUAAUUAAUUUUCAACUUUACAUAAGGGUAUUUUUGACAUUUUAGAUGACUCCAUUAUGAAUGAUUAUUUCCAUCAUUUUAACACUUUAAUCCAAACCAUAAAAGGGUUAUGUAUAGUUUUUGAAACUAUAAGGGAGUUAUGUAAAAGCACCAAAUCACAAGGGAUAAAUUGGAGUUUGCGUCUUCAAACCCAAAAUCCCAAAAUGAUGGCGUCUUCAAAAUUUCAGAAAUGGAUGGAGUGCUUGAUCUACUUCUUCAUUUGUGCAUAUAUGAUAUUUCUGUCCAUGGCGCCAGCCUAUUUAUGUCAAGUAAUUCCGUGCGGUGGCUGCUUGCGGUGCACAUGAGCGGUUAUCUGGAGAAGAUGACGUGAGAAAAGAUGAUCACAUCUGUGAUUUGGUAUUUUAUUACAUAACCCUUCUAUAGUUUAAAAAUUUAUAUAUAACCCCUUCAUAGUUUGGAUUAAAGUGUUACCAUCAUUUUUUUCCGUUAAAACUAACAGUCAAUAGCAAAAAUCAAAGUCAAACUAAUAAAUAGACAAAUUCACCUUUUCACUACAUUUUUUUCCUUUCUUUCUUUUUUUCUUCUCUUUUCUUUCUUUCUCUCUCUUUUUUUUUUUUGGAAGAGAAGAGAUGAUUUAAAAGCUGUACUUUGGCUUAUAAAAUAUUAAUUUCUCUUGGAUACAAAAAAAGGAAGAAAAAUGAAAAAUAAAUAAUUAAGAAAUAGAAAAGAUGGAAGGAAAGUGAAAAAAAUAAAUUAAUAAGAAACCAAAAAGAUGGAAGGGAAAUAUAAACAAAUAAAUAAGAAACAAAGAUACCAAAUCUUUAUUGACUGCAAAUAUCAUGAUAGGCUUUUAGACCAAAUCUUUUAUGGUAUUUUCUAUUUAUUAUUUAUCUAUUCUUUAUUUAAAUUACUUUUUUUUUGUAUUUGGAUGAAAAAAGGAAAAUAGUGAAAGAGUAAAUUUGUCAAUGUAUUAGUUUGAUUUUGAUUUUUUUUUUAACUAUUGAUAGUUAGUUUUGAUGGAGAAACUAUCGGUGACCCAUUAAGUCACACCAUGAGGCGGUUAUAUAUAGGUAUAUUAAGUCAAACCAUGAGGGCAAAAGGUAAUUUAUCCUAAUUAUUAUUUUGUUUGCUUAAAAUCUUUGAGAAUUUGGUCAAAGUCCAGAGGCCACAAAGUGAUCAUUUCCAUACAACUUGUCUGGCUGGUUGGUUCAGUAUGGAGGAAUAUGUGUACUGGAUGUCCACCUCAAUACUCAGACUCGGUCAUACAUCAUGUAAUUGGCCACGAAUUGGAUUCUUUUCUUUGCAUUUUAACUUGUGAAAGUUGUUCAAAUAUUCUCUCGGUCUUUAGGAAGUCUUCUACAGCAUCAAUGAUACUUGAAAGAAGGAAUUUAACAACUCAUAUCUUAGACCGUACUCUUCUAUUAGCCUCCUAUCCCAUUUAUAAUUAGUUUUCACACUCAAUAUGUCUUGGUUAUGUUUCAUGUGCAAGAUUUAAGUGGUGAAAAUUUGAGGAGUUUGUUUAACCAAAGUACAAUAUGCUUUUCCCAGGGAAGCUGCUUGGCUUUUUACUGCAAAAAAUUUCCCAGGUCAAUGCUGGGAUUCCAUUUUUUUUUUUUUGAAGUGGCUUGUUUGUGUUGUCAUCCCGCACUUGGUUUUGUGAAUUGUUCAAACUUCCAAGUUUCUUAAACACAAGUACCUCCCGGAAUAGAGAAAAUACCAAAUUGAGGCCGAUUCUACUUUGUGUAUUAUCAGCAAUCAGGUUUGGUUAGGCAGAGCCAAAGAAGAAGGAAGAUUUACAGCAACUAGUAGGCAUUGUUCUGAAGCCGCGGAUUAAAAUGCAUACACAGAGUCAUGCCAGUAAAGAGAGAGCAUUGGCAAUCAAAUAUCAGGGGGUAAAUUACACACAAUCCCCCUGUAGUUUUGAAUAAUACCACCUUUCAAAAUAGUCAUGCAAAGCAAUAAGACGUUCAAUUCCAUCUAUAUAUAUAUGGCUAUAAGUGAUGUCCUGAAUCAAAAAAUGAUGGAGGAAACUGGACUGCGACGUGGGUUGGUAAGAGAAUCAGAUGCGUGAUAAUUGUUGAUUUCUUGCAAAAUCUUGUACAUUUGGUUACUUGAAACAGGACACUAAUAAACAUCAAAUGAAAACGCGAAUCCAACAAACAAGGCUUGAUAAGCUGUGAUUAAAAAUGCCAUAUCAACUAGAGUUUACUGAUACGAAUUCAAUCAGGAAGUUGAUGUCAGUUUCAUUAAAUUAACAGAGAGUGAGCAUGAAAAUAACAUUUAGCUCAGUAUAACGGAAUUCAACACGAAUAGCCAAAUAUACAACUUUCAAGAAGGAUGCAAGUUAUCUAGCAGGGUUCAGCUAAUCCACAUCUUUCUGCUGCAAAAGACUGGCUACUUUGAAGUACAAGCAGCACGGAAGAUAUGGCAAAUUGUGUUCCAAAAGAAGUAAAAGAGCACCUCAUUAACAUGUCUACAA
Molecule: long non-coding RNA, 9826 nt
Filed under: Coffea arabica (coffee)
Lineage: Eukaryota; Viridiplantae; Streptophyta; Magnoliopsida; Gentianales; Rubiaceae
Description: long non-coding RNA (CARA_LNC000027)
Source: RNAcentral